Molecule: ribosomal RNA, 468 nt
Filed under: uncultured bacterium
Lineage: Bacteria
Description: partial 16S ribosomal RNA
Rfam family: Bacterial small subunit ribosomal RNA
Source: RNAcentral
GACGAACGCUGGCGGCGUGCCUAACACAUGCAAGUCGAACGGAAAGGCCCUGCUCUUGUGGGGUGCUCGAGUGGCGAACGGGUGAGUAACACGUGAGUAACCUGCCCUUGACUUUGGGAUAACUCCAGGAAACUGCGGCUAAUACCGGAUAGGAGCUCCUGCUGCAUGGUGGGGGUUGGAAAGUUUCGGCGGUUGGGGAUGGACUCGCGGCUUAUCAGCUUGUUGGUGGGGUAGUGGCUUACCAAGGCUUUGACGGGUAGCCGGCCUGAGAGGGUGACCGGCCACAUUGGGACUGAGAUACGGCCCAGACUCCUACGGGAGGCAGCAGUGGGGAAUAUUGCGCAGUGGGCGGAAGCCUGAUGCAGCAACGCCGCGUGCGGGAUGACGGCCUUCGGGUUGUAAACCGCUUUCGCCUGUGACGAAGCGUGAGUGACGGUAAUGGGUAAGGAAGCACCGGCUAACUACGUG